UAGCUCAGUAGGUAGAGCAUGGUGUUUGCAACACCAGGGUUGUGGGUUCGUUUCCCAC
This 58-nucleotide transfer RNA is filed under the name Salmo salar (Atlantic salmon). It matches the Rfam family "tRNA", at positions 8 to 63 of the family's 71-position model. Rfam says of the family: Transfer RNA (tRNA) molecules are approximately 80 nucleotides in length. Their secondary structure includes four short double-helical elements and three loops (D, anti-codon, and T loops). The record is from Rfam by way of RNAcentral. Lineage: Eukaryota; Metazoa; Chordata; Actinopteri; Salmoniformes; Salmonidae.